RNAcentral lists this transfer RNA (65 nucleotides) under Mnais costalis. RNAcentral describes it as "tRNA-Glu". It matches the Rfam family "tRNA". From Rfam's summary of the family: Transfer RNA (tRNA) molecules are approximately 80 nucleotides in length. Their secondary structure includes four short double-helical elements and three loops (D, anti-codon, and T loops). Further hydrogen bonds mediate the characteristic L-shaped molecular structure. tRNAs have two regions of fundamental functional importance: the anti-codon, which is responsible for specific mRNA codon recognition, and the 3' end, to which the tRNAs corresponding amino acid is attached (by aminoacyl-tRNA synthetases). tRNAs cope with the degeneracy of the genetic code in two manners: having more than one tRNA (with a specific anti-codon) for a particular amino acid; and 'wobble' base-pairing, i.e. permitting non-standard base-pairing at the 3rd anti-codon position. Lineage: Eukaryota; Metazoa; Arthropoda; Insecta; Odonata; Calopterygidae. The record is from RNAcentral.
ACUUAUGUAGUUUAAUAAAACACUACAUUUUCAAUGUAUAGACAAAAAAUUUUUUUUCAUAAGUA